UCCAGAGUAGCAUAACAUAAGCGUGGGUAGUGCAUACGACUAUUAAUCGUAAAAGUGAAGGUUCGAAUCCUUCCUCUGGAGCCA
Molecule: transfer RNA, 84 nt
Filed under: Alphaproteobacteria bacterium
Lineage: Bacteria; Pseudomonadati; Pseudomonadota; Alphaproteobacteria
Description: tRNA-Asn
Rfam family: tRNA
About the family: Transfer RNA (tRNA) molecules are approximately 80 nucleotides in length. Their secondary structure includes four short double-helical elements and three loops (D, anti-codon, and T loops).
Source: RNAcentral